This 497-nucleotide ribosomal RNA is filed under the name uncultured bacterium. RNAcentral's name for it is "partial 16S ribosomal RNA". It matches the Rfam family "Bacterial small subunit ribosomal RNA", at positions 28 to 507 of the family's 1533-position model. The record is from RNAcentral.
GAUGAACGCUGGCGGCGUGCCUAAUACAUGCAAGUCGAGCGAACGGACGAGAAGCUUGCUUUUCUGAUGUUAGCGGCGGACGGGUGAGUAACACGUGGAUAACCUACCUAUAAGACUGGGAUAACUUCGGGAAACCGGAGCAAAUACCGGAUAAUAUUUUGAACCGCAUGGUUCAAAAGUGAAAGACGGUCUUGCUGUCACUUAUAGAUGGAUCCGCGCUGCAUUAGCUAGUUGGUAAGGUAACGGCUUACCAAGGCAACGAUGCAUAGCCGACCUGAGAGGGUGAUCGGCCACACUGGAACUGAGACACGGUCCAGACUCCUACGGGAGGCAGCAGUAGGGAAUCUUCCGCAAUGGGCGAAAGCCUGACGGAGCAACGCCGCGUGAGUGAUGAAGGUCUUCGGAUCGUAAAACUCUGUUAUUAGGGAAGAACAUAUGUGUAAGUAACUGUGCACAUCUUGACGGUACCUAAUCAGAAAGCCACGGCUAACUACGUG